This 452-nucleotide ribosomal RNA is filed under the name uncultured bacterium. RNAcentral describes it as "bacterial SSU rRNA". It matches the Rfam family "Bacterial small subunit ribosomal RNA", at positions 329 to 795 of the family's 1533-position model. The record is from RNAcentral.
UUCCAGACUCCUACGGGAGGCAGCAGUGGGGAAUAUUGCGCAAUGGGGGCAACCCUGACGCAACAACGCCGCGUGCAGGAAGAAGGUCUUCGGAUUGUAAACUGUUGUCGCAAGGGAAGAAGACAGUGACGGUACCUUGUGAGAAAGUCACGGCUAACUACGUGCCAGCAGCCGCGGUAAUACGUAGGUGACAAGCGUUAUCCGGAUUUACUGGGUGUAAAGGGAGCGUAGACGGCGAUGCAAGCCAGAUGUGAAAGCCCGGGGCUCAACCCCGGGACUGCAUUUGGAACUGUGUGGCUGGAGUGUCGGAGAGGCAGGCGGAAUUCCUGGUGUAGCGGUGAAAUGCGUAGAUAUCAGGAGGAACACCGGUGGCGAAGGCGGCCUGUUGGACUGCAACUGACGUUGAGGCCCGAAAGCGUGGGGAGCAAACAGGAUUAGAUACCCCCGUAAAC